This 75-nucleotide transfer RNA is filed under the name Clostridia bacterium. RNAcentral's name for it is "tRNA-Val". It matches the Rfam family "tRNA". From Rfam's summary of the family: Transfer RNA (tRNA) molecules are approximately 80 nucleotides in length. Their secondary structure includes four short double-helical elements and three loops (D, anti-codon, and T loops). The record is from RNAcentral. Lineage: Bacteria; Bacillati; Bacillota; Clostridia.
GGAGCAUAGCUCAGCUGGGAGAGCAUAUGCCUUACAAGCAUAGGGUCACAGGUUCGAUCCCUGUUGCUCCCACCA